This is a long non-coding RNA of Conger conger (European conger), 426 nucleotides long. RefSeq lists it as uncharacterized. NCBI's taxonomy places the organism in Eukaryota, Metazoa, Chordata, Actinopteri, Anguilliformes, Congridae. The transcript has 4 exons. The record is from RefSeq and is a predicted model, not a curated record.
AAAGGAUUACGUCAUCAGUGAGACGUGGCAGAGAUAAACAUCAUUGCCUUAACGAUGGAUUCAGCAGUUUGCCCAGGAAAGCCUGUCGAGACUAUUGGCCCUGGGGGACAGCAGUGAGAGAGUUUACUAAGGAAGCGUGACUACUCAGAGACAGAGAAACCUACCUCCCCGCCCCAUGAGUCUUGUCUGUGAAAAAGAACACAAGAACGGAAGCCCUGCCUCACAGGAACACGCCGUUCUGUGUCCUAGCACACCUCAGUGAUGUCAGCGCAUGACUCAUCCUCAGAGGAGCAAGACAGCGGACCGAGGCAGCGCAAAACAAAACACAACAGGCAUGGAACCAGCUGCAGCUUCCCCCGAAAAAACAGAGAGGGUUAUGUUACAUUACUGUUGUGAUGCCAAUUCCAUCAAAUGGGCUUUGAGACA